CCUGACCCGCAAGCCGGAGGCCGAAGAGGUGCCGGUGCAGGUCAACAUCCAGUACGUGGUCGAAUUCUACGCCCGCUGAUUCGGGCCCACUUCUGUAUCACAUACAGUCAAGGACAUACCGCCGAAACCCCGUGUUCCCGGAAGGGACGCGGGGUUUCCGCGUU
Molecule: small RNA, 164 nt
Filed under: Bifidobacterium stellenboschense
Lineage: Bacteria; Bacillati; Actinomycetota; Actinomycetes; Bifidobacteriales; Bifidobacteriaceae
Description: Bifidobacterium sp. AFB23-3 sbcD RNA
Rfam family: sbcD RNA
Source: Rfam by way of RNAcentral